UCAAAUCCAAGGUAUAUCAACUCCCCCAGACUUACCCUUUUGCUUGUCCUCAAGCAAAACAUACAGGCAGUCUCUCUGAAAGAGGUUUGAAAAUAUUUGGGGAUUUAAGACUUUAAAACAUAGAAAUCUUUCCUCAACAAUUUUGCAACCACAUUUAAAAAGUCCUAAUCAUAAAAGCACACUAUGCAAUAUCCUAGCUUAGCAACCAUUUCUAACAUAACACAACUCAUCAAUUCACGUCUGACAUCCCCUCUACUGAUUUCAUUUCUUAGCAUAAAUAUAAAGUGAAUACUUUACCUUGGGAGUAUCGAUCACAGGAUGCAAGGAUUUCAGACAGGUAUCAGGAGCUGCAGGUAAAAGUUAUUUCCUAGUUUCUCUCUCUCUAAUUUUCUCUCUUGAGUCAAAGUCUGCUUCCAUUGCAAGAUCAGUGACCAAGAUUGGACAGGUUUUCAUGAAUCAAAACUUAAUGGUGGUUGCCACCAAGUUCUGUUCACUUCUUUUUGACCUAUAUCCAAAAGUUCUUUGCGAAAGCGAGCCUUGAAGAUGGCCGCCUCCAAGUCCCGUUUCGAACUCUUUUAUUUGAGUCUUUAUGAAUCAAGCCUUAAUGGUUUUAGCCACCAAGUCCUCUUCAGACUCAUCCUAAUUAAACAACAGAUUUUAUAGUAUUUUUUAAUUAUUAUUAUAUAUAUAUUUUUUUUUUUUUUGUUUUUUUUAAUAAUACUCACUAACUAAUCUAGGGUCAAAAUUUAGAGAGAGAAAAUGUGAUAAAUAAUCUAAACCAGGCGUUACCUUCCAGACUUGUCUGAAGAAUCCGAUCCCAUGUAUACCAAGCCCCAAGACAAGCGGUUAUGUCAGGUUUAGUGUUGGAAAUCAGCUUUGGUUACUUCAUACGGUUCAAGGCAAGUGUGUAGUUGAUAGGUUGAUCCGCUUUAGCAUCUUUAGUGCUAUCUGCAAUUAGUAAAUCUAAAAUGGUGCUAAAGAUUGGUUAGAUAUUCAUGUUUAAAUCAAUAUAAGAUUAUAGUCCCUAUUUUCAAUAGCUAAGCAUAAUUUAUUAAAAUUCCUUUUUACAUAAGAAUAAAAUAAAUUAUAUCAGUAAAUCUCCCCCAGACUUAAAUUACACUGUCCCAGUGUAACUCAGCCGGAGUUAUGAUGAAUAGUUUACGAUGUACGAAAUGUAACAAGUAAGGAAGAUACAUCUGACCGGAUUAGAUAUCAAUCGAUGUGUAAG
RNAcentral lists this long non-coding RNA (1228 nucleotides) under Brassica rapa (field mustard). RNAcentral describes it as "long non-coding RNA (BRAP_LNC004339)". Lineage: Eukaryota; Viridiplantae; Streptophyta; Magnoliopsida; Brassicales; Brassicaceae. The record is from RNAcentral.